Molecule: small RNA, 617 nt
Filed under: Pongo abelii (Sumatran orangutan)
Lineage: Eukaryota; Metazoa; Chordata; Mammalia; Primates; Hominidae
Description: retained intron
Source: RNAcentral
ACGGAAGGCGGCGACGGGGCCGAAGGAGGCCCGUUUGUGUCUAAACGGAGGCUCGGCCACAACGCCACUGGAUUGGUGGUAAGGCGGGGCGGGCCAGAGUCUCCAGCCUGAAGCGGAAGUGGAGGAAAGAUGGAGGACCAUCAGCACGUGCCCAUCGACAUCCAGACCAGCAAGCUGCUCGAUUGGCUGGUGGACAGAAGGCACUGCAGCCUGAAAUGGCAGAGUCUGGUGCUGACGAUCCGCGAGAAGAUCAAUGCUGCCAUCCAGGAUAUGCCAGAGAGCGAAGAGAUCGCCCAGCUGCUGUCUGGGUCCUGUGAGUGCUUAGGGGCUGUCACUGGAGUCCCCUCUUUGCUGAGGUAACAUUCACUACUUUCACUGCCUAAGAAUCCUGGACCUUCUCAAAGGCACAGAGGCCUCCACGAAAAAUAUUUUUGGCCGAUACUCUUCACAGCGGAUGAAGGAUUGGCAGGAGAUUAUAGCCCUGUAUGAGAAGGACAACACCUACUUAGGUAAAGUGGCCUGGCCUGGGAGCCCUGGUAUCCAUGGGGAAGCCCACUCUCAGAGUUCUGAGAUACCAGGCUUAUAGGAGGCACAGUCUGUGAGUGGGAAGAGACUGG